Molecule: long non-coding RNA, 463 nt
Organism: Myotis myotis
Lineage: Eukaryota; Metazoa; Chordata; Mammalia; Chiroptera; Vespertilionidae
Exons: 2
Source: RefSeq, a predicted model, not a curated record
CCUGAUGUGGAGGCCACAGCCCCUGGCCUGGCGGUAGCAAGCGUUUGCAUGACCAGCACAACCCUCUCUCUACGCACAUUCUGUCCAGCGGCUGGGAGUCACCGCAGAUGAAGACUACAGGCUCGACACAGAAGGUAGCCGGCAAUUCCAACGCUCACUGCUGAAUUGGGUCUCCUUACUCCGUGCCAGCCCAGCAACUCCAGGCACAGAGCCCACGGGCAGCAAAGGGCCUACGGACGUCCCCCCAGGAACAGCCACGCAGCAGGGGCGGGGGGGGGGGGCACUUCUUCUGCAGUCUUUUCAGAAACAGAGGAACCUGCCAGUGACAUCAAGAAAAAAACUGAUAUUCUGUAAAGGCUGUGGGAGACACCCCUAUCAUGAAAACGAAGAUGUGGGCUCUGGAGUGAACCCAAAGACUCACUGCCUUCAUCAAAAAGUUCCUUAAACUUGUGGCUUCAGAACA